GUAUUGUAAAAUAACAAAAAUAUCCAGUUAUUACAUAUUAUCUUGUCUAUCAUUCGAUCUGAAUUUGUCCCCGAUCUAAUUCUAUUACUCAUUCGAUAUGAACUUAUCCCCAAUAUAACAUAUUAUUAAAAUAUGUAAAUAUGUAGAUGAAGAUAAUAACGCUCAACUAAUCUGUACACCAAAAUAGAUGGCGAAAAAUCUAAAUAAAAUUCAAAAUUCUUAAAUGAAAAUAAUUGCAUAUAAGAUGUAGGAUUCAUAAUAAUAGAGCAAGAUGAUGGACAAAACGUAUAUGUAACAGAGAAUUUCUAUUCGGAGACAAGAUUUGGAGACUAAAACAAAAGUCUGUCACCAAUUGUUCUCCGCUAACAGGUAAUCAUGUCUCUUAAUGCAUUAUAUAUUACGUUGUCCCCCGCUAGCAGGUAAUCAUAUCUCCUAAUGUAUUAUAUAUUACGUUGUCCCCCGCGAAAUUUCUCCGCUAACAGGUAAUCAUGUCUCCUAAUGCAUUAUGUAUUACGUUAUCCCCCGCUAGCAGGUAAUCAUAUCUUCUAAUGUAUUAUCUAUUACGUUGUCCCCCGCAAAAUUUUGGAUAACCAAUUUUCUUAUACAAGUCAAUUUUAAAUACCCAAUAACAACAGUAGAAGACAUCUGUUCUCUAUUAUUUUUUCUCCUAAUCCUUUAUGCUUCCAUCAUGAUUUUUCGUCCUGUAUCAUCACAUCUGCCAAAAGCUGUCACCAUCUAAGUCAGAGUCCCUGACCCACCUUAAGGGCAUUUUCGUCCACGAAUUACCAAAUGUGGUAGACUUUAUAAGGUGAGGUAGAAUAUGGUAGGGAAUGUAAGUUUCAGAGGGGAAUAUGGAAGAUUUUGCAAAAUUCCCUUAUUAUUACUUAAUUUAGGGUCAAUGUACCUUUUUUCU
RNAcentral lists this small RNA (913 nucleotides) under Arabidopsis thaliana (thale cress). RNAcentral describes it as "ATSL091750". The record is from RNAcentral. Lineage: Eukaryota; Viridiplantae; Streptophyta; Magnoliopsida; Brassicales; Brassicaceae.